UGCCAGCCGCCGCGGUAAUACGUAUGGUGCAAGCGUUAUCCGGAAUCACUGGGCGUAAAGGGAGCGUAGGCGGUUUUGCAAGUCAGAAGUGAAAGGCUACGGCUCAACCGUAGUAAGCUUUUGAAACUGCAAGACUAGAGUGCAGGAGAGGCAAGUGGAAUUCCUAGUGUAGAGGUGAAAUUCGUAGAUAUUCGGUGGAACACCAGUGGCGAAGGCGGCUAACUGGACUGAUACUGACGCUGAGGUGCGAAAGUGUGGGGAGCAAACAGGAUUAGAUA
RNAcentral lists this ribosomal RNA (278 nucleotides) under uncultured bacterium. RNAcentral describes it as "partial 16S ribosomal RNA". It matches the Rfam family "Bacterial small subunit ribosomal RNA", at positions 506 to 784 of the family's 1533-position model. The record is from RNAcentral.